ACUCCUACGGGAGGCAGCAGUGGGAAUAUUGCACAAUGGGCGCAAGCCUGAUGCAGCCAUGCCGCGUGUAUGAAGAAGGCCUUGGGUUGUAAAGUACUUUCAGCAGUGAGGAAGGUGGGUAUGUUAAUAGCAUAUUCAUUUGACGUUAGCUGCAGAAGAAGCACCGGCUAACUCCGUGCCAGCAGCCGCGGUAAUACGGAGGGUGCGAGCGUUAAUCGGAAUUACUGGGCGUAAAGCGCAUGCAGGUGGUUGUUAAGUCAGAUGUGAAAGCCCGGGGCUCAACCUCGGAAUUGCAUUUGAAACUGGCAAACUAGAGUACUGUAGAGGGGGUAGAAUUUCAGGUGUAGCGGUGAAAUGCGUAGAGAUCGUGAAGGAAUACCGGUGGCGAAGGCGGCCCCUGGACAGAUACUGACACUCAGAUGCGAAAGCGUGGGAGCAAACAGGAUUAGAUACCCCUGGUAGGUCAGUC
Molecule: ribosomal RNA, 469 nt
Filed under: uncultured bacterium
Lineage: Bacteria
Description: bacterial SSU rRNA
Rfam family: Bacterial small subunit ribosomal RNA
Source: RNAcentral